CUACGGGCCGCUGCAGUGGGGAAUAUUGCACAAUGGGCGCAAGCCUGAUGCAGCCAUGCCGCGUGUAUGAAGAAGGCCUUCGGGUUGUAAAGUACUUUCAGCGGGGAGGAAGGGAGUAAAGUUAAUACCUUUGCUCAUUGACGUUACCCGCAGAAGAAGCACCGGCUAACUCCGUGCCAGCAGCCGCGGUAAUACGGAGGGUGCAACCGUUAAUCGGAAUUACUGGGCGUAAAGCGCACGCAGGCGGUUUGUUAAGUCAGAUGGGAAAUCCCCGGGCUCAACCUGGGAACUGCAUCUGAUACUGGCAAGCUUGAGUCUCGUAGAGGGGGGUAGAAUUCCAGGUGUAGCGGUGAAAUGCGUAGAGAUCUGGAGGAAUACCGGUGGCGAAGGCGGCCCCCUGGACGAAGACUGACGCUCAGGUGCGAAAGCGUGGGGAGCAAACAGGAUUAGAUACCCUCGUAGUC
Molecule: ribosomal RNA, 464 nt
Filed under: uncultured bacterium
Lineage: Bacteria
Description: partial 16S ribosomal RNA
Rfam family: Bacterial small subunit ribosomal RNA
Source: RNAcentral